AUUUGCGCCGAAGGUAUACCGGUAAGGAGUGCUGGAGCGAAUAGAAGUGAGCAUGCAGGCAUGAGUAGCGAUAAUUAAUGUGAGAAUCAUUAACGCCGUAAACCCAAGGUUUCCUACGCGAUGCUCGUCAUCGUAGGGUUAGUCGGGUCCUAAGUCGAGUCCGAAAGGGGUAGACGAUGGCAAAUUGGUUAAUAUUCCAAUACCAACAUUAGUGUGCGAUGGAAGGACGCUUAGGGCUAAGGGGGCUAGCGGAUGGAAGUGCUAGUCUAAGGUCGUAGGAGGUUAUACAGGCAAAUCCGUAUAACAAUACUCCGAGAACUGAAAGGCUUUUUGAAGUCUUCGGAUGGAUAGAAGAACCCCUGAUGCCAUCGAGCCAAGAAAAGUUUCUAAGUUUAGCUAAUGUUGCCCGUACCGUAAACCGACACAGGUGGGUGGGAUGAGUAUUCUAAGGCGCGUGGAAGAACUCUCUUUAAGGAACUCUGCAAAAUAGCACCGUAUCUUCGGUAUAAGGUGUGGUUCGCUUCGUAUUAGGAUUUACUCCGAAAGCGAAGAAACUUACAACAAAGAGUCCCUCCCGACUGUUUACCAAAAACACAGCACUCUGCUAACUCGUAAGAGGAUGUAUAGGGUGUGACGCCUGCCCGGUGCUCGAAGGUUAAUUGAUGGGGUUAGCAUUAGCGAAGCUCUUGAUCGAAGCCCGAGUAAACGGCGGCCGUAACUAUAACGGUCCUAAGGUAGCGAAAUUCCUUGUCGGUUAAAUACCGACCUGCAUGAAUGGCGUAACGAGAUGGGAGCUGUCUCAAAGAGGGAUCCAGUGAAAUUGUAGUGGAGGUGAAAAUUCCUCCUACCCGCGGCAAGACGGAGAGACCCCGUGGACCUUUACUACAGCUUGACACUGCUAUUUGGAUAAGAAUGUGCAGGAUAGGUGGGAGGCUUUGAGUAUAUGACGCCAGUUGUAUAUGAGCCAUUGUUGAGAUACCACUCUUUCUUAUUUGGGUAGCUAACCAGCUUGAGUUAUCCUCAAGUGGGACAAUGUCUGGUGGGUAGUUUGACUGGGGCGGUCGCCUCCCAAAUAAUAACGGAGGCUUACAAAGGUUGGCUCAGAACGGUUGGAAAUCGUUCGUAGAGUAUAAAGGUAUAAGCCAGCUUAACUGCAAGACAUACAAGUCAAGCAGAGACGAAAGUCGGUCUUAGUGAUCCGGUGGUUCUGUGUGGAAGGGCCAUCGCUCAAAGGAUAAAAGGUACCCCGGGGAUAACAGGCUGAUCUCCCCCAAGAGCUCACAUCGACGGGGAGGUUUGGCACCUCGAUGUCGGCUCAUCGCAUCCUGGGGCUGGAGCAGGUCCCAAGGGUAUGGCUGUUCGCCAUUUAAAGCGGUACGCGAGCUGGGUUCAGAACGUCGUGAGACAGUUCGGUCCCUAUCUGCCGUGGGCGUAAGAAGAUUGAAGAGAUUUGACCCUAGUACGAGAGGACCGGGUUGAACAAACCACUGGUGUAGCUGUUGUUCUGCCAAGAGCAUCGCAGCGUAGCUAAGUUUGGAAAGGAUAAACGCUGAAAGCAUCUAAGCGUGAAGCCAACUCUAAGAUGAAUCUUCUCUAAGCUCUCUAGAAGACUACUAGUUUGAUAGGCUGGGUGUGUAAUGGAUGAAAGUCCUUUAGCUGACCAGUACUAAUAGAGCGUUUGGCUUAUCUUUAAUAAAGCAU
RNAcentral lists this ribosomal RNA (1701 nucleotides) under Campylobacter coli. RNAcentral's name for it is "partial 23S ribosomal RNA". It matches the Rfam family "Bacterial large subunit ribosomal RNA", at positions 1243 to 2925 of the family's 2925-position model. Lineage: Bacteria; Pseudomonadati; Campylobacterota; Epsilonproteobacteria; Campylobacterales; Campylobacteraceae. The record is from RNAcentral.